AAAUGGACACACAAAUGAAUAAUCAGCAUAUGUAAGUAAUUUUCCAAAUUUUAAAAUAUAUAUACAUAUAUACAAUAAUUUCCUAUAUUCCUAGGCGUGCAAAAACGGAGAGGACAACUCAGGAGCAGCUGCAACAUUACGUAAUGUUUUGCAAGCAGCAUCCUGAGUUGCAACGGGGGAAGCUAACUCCGACCAACCCUCAAGGGCUGUAAAUACUUUGGUCGGAGUUAGCAGAUAAUUUAAAUGCCUUAAGAGGCCCAACUCGGUCGGCAGCCAAGUGGAAGGAGUCAUUAAUGCAUUGGAAACACCAGUUGCGAUCGCGAGCGCGCAAACUGAAGACCCAUGCGCAAGCGACUGGUGGAGGCCCUCCGAUAAGUGGAAUGACUCCAUUCGAGGAGCAAGCCAUAACAACAUUUGGGGCAGCAGCGGUGGAUGGAUUACCGGGUGUUGCGACUUUGGGUCAUCAGGUUUUGCCGUUGUAUAUAAAUACACAAGCUCCAGCUUCCUCGCCAACACCAACAUCGCCUGCUCCAGCACCCUCACUAGCAGUCGCAUCGCCUGCUCCAGCGCCAACACCAACAGUCGCAUCGCCUGUUCCAGCAUCUUCACUAGCAGUCACAUCGCCUGCUCCAGCUUUUCCUGCUUUAUCAAUAAAUUUUUCUUCCUCGCCUUCACCUCAUUUUUCUUCUUCACCAUCACCUCCAUCUUCUUCUUUAUCUCCUCCCAUAUUAUCUUCUCCUAUGCCAUCGUCUUCUUAUAUCCCUCCCGAAAAAUUGACUGCAGCGAAGAUGCUUGGAACAGUGCUAAAAAAAAAAAGGAGAACAGAGAAAAGCGAGAGGAGGAGGCCAUUGCUCUACAAAGAAAAAUUGUAGAGCAAAAUGUGCAGAUGGCAGGGGUGCUGGCUCAAAUGACACAGGCACUAACCUCGCUGUCUGAGGUUAUGGCUAAGU
Bactrocera neohumeralis is the source of this 950-nucleotide long non-coding RNA. RefSeq lists it as uncharacterized. The record is from RefSeq and is a predicted model, not a curated record. The transcript is spliced from 3 exons. NCBI's taxonomy places the organism in Eukaryota, Metazoa, Arthropoda, Insecta, Diptera, Tephritidae.